RNAcentral lists this ribosomal RNA (909 nucleotides) under Triticum aestivum (bread wheat). RNAcentral describes it as "partial small subunit ribosomal RNA". The record is from RNAcentral. Lineage: Eukaryota; Viridiplantae; Streptophyta; Magnoliopsida; Poales; Poaceae.
AUGAGAGCCCUCUCCGAUGAGUUAGCUGCCGCUGGAAAGCCCAUCACCGACCAAGAACUUCUCUCCUUCAUCAUUGGGGGGCUGGAUAUGGACUAUCAACCUCUCAUAUCGGCGCUGGAUGUGCGCGUGGAACCCCUGCCCGUGGAUGAUCUCUUCGGCAUGGUCGCUAACUUUGACCAACGCGUUGAGAUGUUCCAAGGAACGGGGGCAGGAGCCUUCAAGUCAUCUGCAAAUCUUGCUGCUCGAGGCCGCAGCGGGUCUCCCCAAGGCUACCGCAAGGGUGGUGGUGGCGGGGGCUCUCGCGGCGGCGGCAGCUAUGGUGGUGGCGGUAGCAGCGGCGGCGGGAACAACUACAACACCGGCAACAACCACUACAACAACAAUGGCAACACCGGCGGCGGCAGUGGUGGUGGCGGCGGCCACCACCAACGCAACAGCAACAACUACAACUCCAACAACACCAACCGGCGCCCCUUCUACAACAACAACAGGGGACGCCCGUUCCAAGGUUACGAUGAGUAUGAAAAUAAAUGUCAAAUUUGUAAAAGGAAUAAUCAUAUUGCCAAGGAUUGUGACUAUCGCUAUGCCGAGAACAAUUCCCAACGCAAGAAAGUUGCAGCAGCUGCAGACACCUCAUACGGAGUGGACACAAAUUGGUACAUCGAAUCCGGCGCCACGAAUCAUAUCACCAACGAGCUAGAGAAGGUCACCAUGCACGAGAAAUAUCAUGGCCAAGAUCAAGUCCACAAUGCAAACGGUGAAGGUAUGAAGAUAGAUCAUGUUGGUCAUGCAAUUGUCACUACCCCUUAUCGCAAUAUUCAUCUCAAAAAUAUUUUGCAUGUCCCACAAAUUGAAAAAAAAUCUUCUUUCUGUUCACCGCAUUGCCAUAGACAACAAAGUUUUUCUUGA